Esox lucius (northern pike) is the source of this 2998-nucleotide long non-coding RNA. RefSeq lists it as uncharacterized. The record is from RefSeq and is a predicted model, not a curated record. The transcript has 3 exons. NCBI's taxonomy places the organism in Eukaryota, Metazoa, Chordata, Actinopteri, Esociformes, Esocidae.
CGUGACACCAGAAUGACAACCGGAACGACAGCGUUACCAAACAAGCCGGCUGAGACUGGAACAACAACGUUAGCUAAUAGCAUCAUUAGCCUUCUCCCUGCGUGGCUUGGACAUGGUCUGUUCUGUGUUUGCACUAUACGUUGACUAGCAGAUUGCCCGAACAGGCUGACAGUUACUAGCUAGCUCAGCAGUGCCGGGUGAAAACUGCCAUCUUCCUGUGGAUUUACAGCUGCCGCUUCUGCUACUUCAAUUAGUUCUAUAGCACACAGAUGUUGCUUAAAUGUAGCUGCUAAUGAUGCCGCAAUAAGCCUAAGAUUCAUGCCAUAUUCACAGGCACGUAAAUUUCUCAAGUGGCACAAUUAAAGUGGGAAUAUUGGGAGGGUGUGUGAAGGAAGCUUGGCAGUUGGAGGGAACUUGGAAAGCUGUCCACCUGUUCCUCUAUUGGUCGGGAUCAAAUUAAACUGGAACACCAUUUUGGACUGUUAGCCAAUCUGGGGGUUUUGUGCGAAUUUCAGCCUUCUGAAGAACUGCGGGGCUUGUCGAAGUGGUAACUCCGUGGCAACCGCAUGGAGCUACAGCCAAAACAAGUCAGUUUAAUGCACUCCUUUGUCAAAAGGCUUUCUGAAAGGCAGAGAUUGAUUCACAGUGAAGGUUUGGGUGGCAUUCCCUGUGUUCUUCAAGUCUUUCAGCGUGAAUUCCCUCCGCAUCCGUAAUGACCGCCUAUUACCUGUUUAGUGAACUACUUAUUGACCGGGACCCAUACAGUACUGUGCAUCAGUGGGAGCUGUAUGACAGGGGCUAAACUGAGCUGAAAGGAAGUGCGCAGACCAGAUUCACAGCCAUCUUUUACAGUAAGCCACUGCCGCAUGCUCUCUGGUUACAACGAGUAUUAAAGGUUAAUCUCUCUAUUGUGAUUCAUUGUCACUUUAACAUUUAUAUUCAGCUUAGUGCCUCCAGAUUCUUCUUUUUUUCUGGGUCUUUAAGCUUCUCAUGGCUAUCUGCUCCAGCUGCAUGACUUAUCAUCUCUUCCACAUUAAAUUCACUGAAUCAGGGAGUGUGACGUAGCCGCUAACUUCUCUAAAUGUUCUCUCCGACCCGUCACCAUCCAACACCAUGGUUUUGAGUUCCAAACAGCACCCUCUUCUCCAUUCAAGUGCCCUUGUUAGCCCAGAGCCCUUCCCAUUGGUUCCGGUCAAACAUAGUGUGUGCACGGGGAACAGGGUACCAUUUGGAACGCGGGCAGCCCAUGUCUGGGUUAGAAGCCGUCAGGAGUUAUUUAUUCAGUGAGCAGUAGAGAUAGUGCUAAGCCUCUUUGCACCGUGGGCUCUGUGGCUCAGGGAGGUCGAUGGAGCACAGCUCAGGUGUCGCUGUAUUCAUAGCAGACUUGUGCCGUACCGAAUCUCCCGUGCAGAGGUGAAGCCAUUACAAUGUGUGCAUGUUAAGUCAAUUUGCUUCCAUGUCACCGUAGUGAGUCGGCGUGUGUAAGUGUGAAUGCGACGGGCUGAAUAGCGCCGGUGUUAUUUACCUUGCUCGACAAUAACUAACAGCCGAAUGUUAGGGUGCAUUAGACAGGUGGGAGGGAAAAGUGUGACAAUGUGGAGAUAAUUAGCCACGGGAACAAAACACAAACAAUCACACAAAACAGGUUUUGUUGUUUGUAUUUUCUUUGAGUGUCCCUUUUCUCCCCAAGAACUCUGAUCUUUAAUGUGUGUGUUGUAUUGUCUGUAAUGUUUAUGACAGAUGGUCUGUACUAUUCAUAUAUUUUUUUCUGUGUUAUUUAUGUCACUUUGUCGAGAAUAUUUAUGUCAUAUUGUCUUUAGUAUGUAUGUACUAUUGUCCGUAAUUUUCAUGUAAUAAUUUCUGUAGUAAUUAUGUAAUAUUGUCUUCAGUAUGUAUGUAAUUUUGUCUUUAAUAUUAAUGUUAUGAUGUCUGUAGUAUUUAUGUCAAAAUGAUUCCCCUGAAAAUACUGUACUAUGUCUGUGCAGAUAUUUGACGUGCAAAAUUAAGUGAGGUGUGACAGAAAAUCUACUUUCAGAUUAUGGACACAUAAGCAACAUAUCACAUCCCGCUCAAAAUGCAGUGUUAUAGUUUGUUAUUUAAAAUGGUUCUGGGCUUAACCUUUAAAUAAGUGCUAUCCAAGUGGCCUUGUGAUUGGAUAAGUAAUUGUACAAUUUUCUGCAAUCACCAUCAGCUUGCAUUUGGAACAUUGGAUUUGACCCUUUUUCAGAAUGGAGCCACAUGUGGAAUGAACAUUGGUUGUCCUUUUGGCUGUCAAAAAAAGUGUUUGGCAAGUAAUCUAUUGACAAUAAAUCAGGAGGCUGGCUGAUUCUCACAACGAUUGCAACAUUGAUUGGACUAAUGAAUCAUAUCAUUCCGCCAAUUACCCAGCGAGGAAGGACUAACAAUAGGCUGUUGGAGGUCAAUCACCUGUUUGUCGGAAGGAUAAGCAGUGUCCACACCUCCCCACUUUCAGUGUACAAUAUACAAUACACAAGAGGCUAGAGACAUAGGAAACGGACAAGAAAAUCAACGUGUGUUAUAACUGGCAAAUGUGAACAUUAUUUGUUUUACUAGCUUCCUGAUGCCAAUUCUCCAGCUGUUAAUGAUACAGUCACUCCCUGACUACCAGAAAAUGAAAACCUGCCCCACCACCCUGGCUACAGUUACAUAUAACAAAACCACAACACGGCACACAGAGAUCUAUAACCUUUGCCGCCAUCAAAUACUUGCCGCAAUGUCCUAAUAUCCCAGCAUGCCCCUCAUUCAAUCAAAGGAACAGAACACUCGUUAUUAACAAAUUCUAAUCAUUGUCCUGUAUCAUCGUUUUAAUGUGAUCAUUAAAUAUUCAUAAAUCCUCUGUCAAUACUGGCUCAAAACCCUGCAGUGGUAGAAGUCAUGGGUUUGUUCAUUUAAACGUGCUGCGCUCUGAGAUCAAGUCAAAGGUCAGAGGGCAGAGUCACGCGAUUAAAGGCAAGCGAUGCUAGCUGAAGGCGGAGGG